This 223-nucleotide unclassified non-coding RNA is filed under the name Hevea brasiliensis (rubber tree). Lineage: Eukaryota; Viridiplantae; Streptophyta; Magnoliopsida; Malpighiales; Euphorbiaceae. The record is from RNAcentral.
GUUGAGUUAUAAAAAGUGGAAGAAAAUGAUAAAAAGGCGGUUUUACAAGCUUGAACAUGGUGAUAGAGAUGCUCCUUCGCAGUCCUCUUCAUCCUCCGACUCUGAAUUUGAGGCAGAGGAAACAGAAGACGAACAGGAGGAGGAGGAAGAGGAAGAGGGCGUGAUUGUUCCAUCAGAUUUUUGUUUUUUCCUUUUUGGGUUGAGAAAAUGAAUAUAUCUGAUG